GCCGGUGUGGCGGAAUUGGCAGACGCAAGGGACUUAAAAUCCCUCGGAGGCAACUUCGUGUCGGUUCGAGUCCGACCACCGGCA
RNAcentral lists this transfer RNA (84 nucleotides) under Lachnospiraceae bacterium. Its description in RNAcentral is "tRNA-Leu". It matches the Rfam family "tRNA". Rfam says of the family: Transfer RNA (tRNA) molecules are approximately 80 nucleotides in length. Their secondary structure includes four short double-helical elements and three loops (D, anti-codon, and T loops). The record is from RNAcentral. Lineage: Bacteria; Bacillati; Bacillota; Clostridia; Lachnospirales; Lachnospiraceae.